AGUGAACGCUGGCGGUAGGCCUAACACAUGCAAGUCGAACGGCAGCACAGUAAGAGCUUGCUCUUACGGGUGGCGCGUGGCGGACGGGUGAGGAAUACAUCGGAAUCUACUUUUUCGUGGGGGAUAACGUAGGGAAACUUACGCUAAUACCGCAUACGACCUACGGGUGAAAGCAGGGGAUCUUCGGACCUUGCGCGAUUGAAUGAGCCGAGGUCGGAUUAGCUAGUUGGCGGGGUAACGGCCCACCAAGGCGACGAUCCGUAGCUGGUCUGAGAGGAUGAUCAGCCACACUGGAACUGAGACACGGUCCAGACUCCUACGGGAGGCAGCAGUGGGGAAUAUUGGACAAUGGGCGCAAGCCUGAGCCAGCCAUACCGCGUGGGUGAGGAAGGCCUUCGGGUUGUAAAUCCCUUUUGUUGGGAAAGAAAAGCAGCAGGUUAAUACCCCGCUGUUCUGACGGUACCCAAAGAAUAAGCACCGGCUAACUUCGUG
This 492-nucleotide ribosomal RNA is filed under the name uncultured bacterium. Its description in RNAcentral is "partial 16S ribosomal RNA". It matches the Rfam family "Bacterial small subunit ribosomal RNA", at positions 29 to 507 of the family's 1533-position model. The record is from RNAcentral.